GAAAAUAUGAGGGAGGAAGACUUUCUAAACAAAAUCUAAAUUAAGAAAAGAGACAGGCAGGUAAGAAGUGCUUUAGAACAAGGGUUCCCAAACUGUGGGCCACGGCCCAUAGUCCCAGGUGGUCCACUGACGCAACUGCAUUCUCCAGUCAAGCUCUUAGUAAAUCUUUAACUCCAUGUGACUCGUGUGAUGUCAGUAAAAGCUAUAUAAAUAUAAUGUCCUGAGCUGCAUAUGUUGGACAAAGCAUAGAAGAAACUUGUAUUUUGUUUAUUUGUUUGUUUGUUUAUUUUAUUUUAUUAAAAAGCAAGUGCAAUGUGUCAAGAUUAAUUCUCGCAAGUACAACGGUGCGUUUCACUGCAAGGUAACCUAGCAACGUACACACAGUCAGCCAUUUACAACUGUAAAAAACAGCAAGCAGUAUUUCAAUCUGACAUGGAUGGAUUUAUUUUUCGAAAACGAAAAGGGUGCACUGGUGGAGAAGAUAAUGAAAGUCCUGGACCAUCUACAGCUACACGAAAUGAGGAUUCAAAAAAAUAAAGUGGUUUUGCUGUCACGUCAAAAGUUGCAGCUGUAAUGCCACAGGAGAAAGUGAUCUUCCUUAUCCAAAACAAUCAAAGGGUCUGUUUAUGUCUGCCUCUAGGCAGCAGGCGCAGCUUGUACUGUGGGUAAGCAGAACAAGUGAGCAAUCUUUCUGCUUUGGAGAACUUAGCCUCUCUGUUCCGAGGGAGAGUUUUUUGGCACUCCCCGCAGAUCGAAGCUCCCUGCUGAUCGAUUAUUUGAUAAUUGAUUUUCCCCUCCACCAAUGCACGGCUGGCUUUCGAAGAAAAGCUCCUGAUUGGACUGCGGCUCCUCCACUGCUGCCUACUGAGAUUUGGGUGAGCUCAUUUUCCAACAUACCGCAGGGGGAGUUUUCUCAGGGAC
Non-coding RNA from Chrysemys picta bellii (western painted turtle), 921 nucleotides. NCBI's taxonomy places the organism in Eukaryota, Metazoa, Chordata, Testudines, Emydidae. The record is from RefSeq and is a predicted model, not a curated record.